Molecule: non-coding RNA, 30 nt
Filed under: Rattus norvegicus (Norway rat)
Lineage: Eukaryota; Metazoa; Chordata; Mammalia; Rodentia; Muridae
Source: RNAcentral
ACCUGCUUGGCGAAUAAGGUCACCCUAUGG